UAUCCACAGCUUUACAUCAAGAUCAAUCUGUUUCUCAAGUUCCUUGCAUGACAGCUAGAGCUUUUCAUGAUAAAUUCACUUAUAGCUUUCCGGUCUCACCUGGCCUCAAAUUCCUACGUUUCUAUUUCUACCCGGCUCAAUACUCUGACUUUGAUGGAACCACUUCCCUCUUCUCUGUUACCGCCAAUAACUACGUUCUUUUGGAAAAUUUCAGUGCCUAUUUAACCGUUUCUGCUAUAAUUCCUCCAGAAGCCUCAUUGAUGAAAGAAUUUAUGGUUCCAGUUUUGGACAAAGAGAGGCUAAAUAUAACCUUUUCCCCAUCUUCAAACUCUGUCGCCUUUGUAAACGGUAUUGAAGUUGUUUCUAUACCAGACAAUCUUUAUGGAGGUGACAGGGAAAAUUCUUUGCCCUUUGUUAAUACCAAAUUUGCUACCUUUGAUAUUCCUAAUACCACAGCUUUUGAAACUGCUUAUCGUCUAAAUGUUGGUGGACAAGAUGUGGCUAACGUAAAAGACACAGGCAUGUUUCGAACAUGGCAUGAUGAUUCGUCCUAUAUCUUUGGUGGUGCAUUAGGUUCUACGCCUCAUCGGUCCAAUGUUACAAUCAUAUACACCCAAGAAACUCCGGCUUAUACGGCUCCGGUUUUUGUCUACAGUACAUCACGAACUAUGGGUGCUGAUCCGAAAAUCAACAUGAAUUACAAUCUGACAUGGAUUUUUUCUGUUGAUACUGGCUUCAGAUACCUCCUUAGGCUUCAUUUUUGCGAGACUCAAUUGGAAGUGACGGAAUUAGGUCAACGCGUGUUUGAUAUAUGCAUCAAUAAUCAAACAGCUGGCCCUGAAUUCGACGUGAUCGAGCAGAGUGGCGGUAAUAGCAAGCCGAUAUACAAGAUUACAUUGCGUUGAUCCCAAAUGGAUCCGGUCAAAGUGAACAAGUUCUGUGGCUAGCGUUACACCCUAGCGAAAGACGUUGGUUCAAAGUUUGCUGAUGCAAUCCUGAACGGUUUAGAGAUUUUUAGACUCAACAAAUCAGACGGUAGUCUUGCAGUGCCAAAUCCUGAACCGAAUUUAAGUCUUACACGAAAGGAGCCGGACCAAGGUUGCCCUAUUGGAAAAAGGAAAAAGGGUGCUCGCAGCAGGUUAUGGUCAUUGCCAUAGCUGUCUUUAGUGCUAUAUUUGCUCUUACCCUUAUCAUAUGUUUUUUCAUUUUCAAGCACAAAAGGAAAGUAAAGGAUUCAGCUUCAGCUGUUAGCAUACCCAAAUCAUCAUGGGGACAAGUGCCCUGCCCAUCAAACUCCACCUGUACAACCAACGUUUCCUUACUACCAUCUGAUCUUUGUCGCCGGUUCUCGAUCAUUGAGAUUAAAGAAGCCACCUUUAAUUUCGAUGAGCAAUUCAUUAUUGGCUCAGGAGGAUUUGGUCACGUCUAUAAAGGUUGUAUCGAUGGUGGUACAGUUGCAAUCAAAAGGUUAGAUUCAUCAUCAAGGCAAGGAACCCGAGAGUUCCAAACUGAACUUGAGCUACUCUCCAAGCUACGCCAUGUCAAUCUCGUGUCCUUGAUUGGUUUCUGUGAUGAUAACGGUGAGAUGAUUCUUGUCUAUGAGUAUAUGCCGCGAGGGACCCUCCGAGAUCAUCUCUACAAAACCAAAAACCCUCCUUUACCAUGGAAAAGGAGGUUGGAAAUCUGCAUUGGAGCCGCUCGUGGAUUGCAUUACCUUCAUGCAGGAGUGAAGCACCCUAUCAUUCACCGGGAUAUCAAAUCUACCAACAUAUUAUUGGAUGAGAACUUGGGUGGCCAAGGUUUCUGACUUUGGAUUGUCUAGAGUGGGUCCAACAAACAUGUUUCAAAGCCAUGUCAGCACUGUGGUGAAGGGAAGUGUCGGAUACGUUGAUCCUGAGUACUAUCGAAGGCAACAGUUGACUGAGAAAUCCGAUGUUUACUCAUUCGGUGUGGUUUUAUUUGAAGUAUUAUGUGCUAGACCGUCAAUGAUUCCAGGGCUACCAAAAGAUCAGGUCAGCCUGGCUCGAUGGGCCAGGAUUUGCCAUGCAAGAGGAACCCUUGGACAAAUCAUGGACCCAAAUUUGGUGGGUGACAUUUCACCUCUGUGCCUAAAGAAAUUCGGUCAGCUUGCUGAGAGUUGUAUCUGUGACGAAGGAAUUGAGCGGCCAAUGAUGAAUGAUGUGGUUUGGGGUUUAGAAUUUGCACUGCAAAUCCAAGAGGGAACUGAGAGGAACAUGAUGAACAUGGGAGAUUAUAAUCAGGUGAUCAGCUCAAGCCAAACCAGUCCUUUGAUCUCGCAAGGAGCAGUGACUACCACGGAUGAUGAUGAUGGUGACUUGUUUAGUGUUUCAGGUGGACAAGUAUCAGAAUCAAGGAGCACGAUUAGCAGUGGUGAGAGGAGUGUUAGUCGAAGAGAUAUUGAUAGCAAUAGGAUGAAAUCUGAGACUGUAUUCUCGGAAAUUAUGAAUGCAAAUGGAAGAUGAGAUUAUAGUACCUGCUAAACCUUUUGUUUUGUAAUCUACAGUUUUCAGAGAUUUUUGUCCCCAAAUCCCCCAAUCUCUUUAUAUGUACAAUGUAAAAAUAUACGCAUUAAAUCUUUAUAUUUGAAAUAUAUAUAUAUAUAUAUAUAUAUUAAAGUGAAAUUUGCCAAUAUAUUAUAACUCUACAUUUAAUUUCAUUCUUGUAUUUUAAUUUUAUUAAAUUUUAUCAAUCCUAGAAUUUAAUCAGCUUAUUGUCGUGGAGUAAUUUUUUGCUAUUUCAUUUUUAAAAAAUUAAAUAUUUUACAUGCUUUGAUAUAUACUGAUAUUAAUGUAGAACAAAAUUAUUCAUCACAUUUAUAUAUUAAUAAUAGAAACUUAUGUAUAAAGUUAUUUAUAUCCAUCAUAUCAUCGGUGACAUGAAAGAUGGAAUUAAUCAUUUUACCAUCUUGUUUAAUGAUAAAUCUUUUACCCUAAACGUGUAAAAAUAUUGCUUUAUAAUUAGCGACCAAUAUUUUUUUAUCAAAAAAGAAAAAAGAAAAAAAAAUUGUGUAUCAUGGACAACCUAAGGUUGCAAGAAACCUUGUAAUUUUUAUUCUAUGGAUAUCAAUAUAAAAUUAAAUAAAUAAUAAAUUUAUAUAUAUUAUAUAUUAAAAAAUUCAAAACAACUUUGACCUGAUCUGUAUUUAAAAUUUUAAAAAGUUCAACCCAAAUCCUCAUUUUUAAAAUACAUCUAUUGGAGUGUUGGAUCACAUUAAAUUGAAUAGGUUGUUUUAUCAUCUCUAUUUUUAUUUUUUAUUUUUUUAUAAAAUAUUAUUUAUUUUAAAAUGAUAAAAAAAUAACAUUUAAAAAAUACAAAAUAAAGAAAAAAAAAACUAAAUAAAGAAACAAAUUUUUUUUUAAAAAAAGAAGGGUUCCCACGUGGACACCCAAACCUCUUCAAAAUCUAUAAAAUUAAAUAUGUAGAUACUUUUUUUUUAAUAUUUUGACAAAAUUAAUAGAAUUUAAAUAUUUAAUAAAUUUUUUUAAUUGAAAUAGAUAAUUUUACUACUAUACUUUCAGUUUCAAUUAAUUUCAAAUAAAAAUGAAAUUGAAUUAUUGCACAUAAGAUUUUAUUAAUGCAAACGAAAAUUUUGCAUCAACUUUUUCAUUUUAUAUCUAAAUAUCAACAAAAUUAAAAAAAUACAGUAUAGAAUUUAAUAAAAUUGAAAUAAGUAGCAAUAUCAAAAUAACUUAUUUCCAUUAUUUCCAAGAAUAAGAAGCAUACUUUGCUUAUUACAAGCUUGCAAAUGCCAAAAAAAAAAACUUAUAUUCCAUUAUUCAAAUGAUAGAAAGCGGAAGAUAUAAGUUUAAAAAUUCAAAACCAAAAAUCAAAUCAAGUAACUGUACCUAAUUAAAAAUCUGUGUAACGAUACAAUUGAUAUUGCCUUUCAAGUGAGAUAGACAGAGCAACUUGCUUCAUGUUCUAAUUGUCAAAAGUUUUUUAUGUUUACAAUAAAAAUAAUUGUGGUGAUUAAAUUUGACGAAUUAAAUGAUAUUUGUUUAAUUGAAAAAAUUAUAAAAAAUAAUAAAAAUAAAAUUAAUCAUAUUUAUUUAUUUUUUACUUUUAAAAAAUAAAAAGUAACUAUAUGUUCUACUACUCAUCAAAUAACUAAUUUGUUUAUUUUUUAAAAUUUAUUAUUUUUUACUCAAAUACUGAGUGUACUGGAGUAUAGUACUAUUAAACUGUCAAAGUCAAUUAGCACUAUUAGAAGACCCACAUAAGUAUCAUACGAAAUAGAAUUUGGGAAAGAAUGACUUGGUCACUUGGCUAUAGAACCAACUUCAGUUUUUUCCACAUUGUUGAUGCACCCACUUUGAACUUUCUUCAAUGCAUCUCUCUUACAAAUCUUUUCAAUACAGUUGAUAUGAUUAAAUUAAACUGAGGAAAUUUCCACCAAAACGCGAAAAAAGAAUUAUAAAGUAGGUUUUCUGUUCACAUAGAGUGUCACAAUUAAAAGAAGUUCUUUUCCUGGUCGUUUUCAUUUUGCAUGGACUAGUCAAAUGCUAAAGAUUGAUAAUUUUUCAGGAAAAAUCAGACUUCAUACGGUUGGAAAAAUCAAAUGCUAAACAUUCCCAACCCAUCAAUUUCUUCCUCACAAAUCAUCCAAUGGUUGUGAACUUUAACCCAUUUUUGGAGAGUCAGGGGUAUCAUAAAGAACUUGACAAGAUGCAUUCUUGCCAUCACAAAUCUCAAGUUUACUUCACUUUGUUCAGGGUCUAAUAAAUGACAGAACAAUGGUGAACUACUCUUGAAAGUUAAAGCCACCUACCUGUUCUUUCCGCUCUCUUAUUGACACCCUUGGCGCUUCUUUGCUUCGAAACUUGUCCUGCUAUACACAAUUACACAUUAUUCCUUCUCUCCAACAGACUCAGUUCCAUGUUUCCUUUCAUUUUCUACCUGGUGUCUCUCCAUCUUCUCUUCCCUGUCACUAUAGCUGGCAAAUCAUCUGCCUACACCCCAAUCGAUUAUAUUCUCCUCAGCUGUGGUGCAUCAUCUGAUACAAUAUCGGAAGAUGGCAGGAAAUGGUUCACUGAUGAAAGGUCCAAAUUUUUUACCUCUAAUCCUGAAACCGUUUCAUUUGUAUCCACAGCUUCACAUCAAGAUCAAUCUGUCUCUCAAGUUCCUUACAUGACAGCUAGAGCUUUUCAUGAUAAAUUCACUUAUAGCUUUCCGGUAUCACCUGGCCUCAAAUUCCUACGUUUCUAUUUCUACCCGGCUCAAUACUCUGACUUUGAUGGAACCACUUCCCUCUUCUCUGUUACCGCCAAUAAUUACGUUCU
RNAcentral lists this long non-coding RNA (5300 nucleotides) under Durio zibethinus. RNAcentral's name for it is "long non-coding RNA (DZIB_LNC001765)". The record is from RNAcentral. Lineage: Eukaryota; Viridiplantae; Streptophyta; Magnoliopsida; Malvales; Malvaceae.